RNAcentral lists this non-coding RNA (30 nucleotides) under Mus musculus (house mouse). The record is from RNAcentral. Lineage: Eukaryota; Metazoa; Chordata; Mammalia; Rodentia; Muridae.
UAACUACGUCCCCAAGAAAUUGAAGAGUUU